GAUGAAGAACGUAGCGAAAUGCGAUAAGUAAUGUGAAUUGCAGAAUUCAGUGAAUCAUCGAAUCUUUGAACGCACAUUGCGCCCAUUAGUAUUCUAGUGGGCAUGCCUGUUCGAGCGUCAUUAAGUCCACUUAAGCCCAGCUUAGUGUUGGGAGACUGCUCCAGCGGUGCUACCCUGUAGCUACCCUGCAGCUCCUCAAAGACAGCGGCGGAGUUGUGGUAUCCUCUGAGCUUAGUAACUUGUUCUAGCCUUCGAGUACACCACUUCCCCUGCCGUAAAAACCCUUAAUUUUUAAUGGUUGACCUCGGAUCAGGUAGGAAUACCCGCUGAACUUAAGCAUAUCAAUAAGCGGAGGA
RNAcentral lists this unclassified non-coding RNA (356 nucleotides) under soil metagenome. RNAcentral's name for it is "partial contains 5.8S ribosomal RNA, internal transcribed spacer 2, and large subunit ribosomal RNA". The stretch from base 1 to 120 matches the Rfam family "5.8S ribosomal RNA", at positions 35 to 154 of the family's 154-position model. The record is from RNAcentral.